UAAUAUCUAUGUCAAUAAUUAGUGUAAAAAUUAGUGUGGGCAUUGUUUUCUUGACUAAGCUCCUCCUACUAGAUACGUUGUUAGGAAUCGGUAUAGCGUCUACUGUUAAAGCGAUUGGAUCUGAAGGACUGACAUUUGGACUGUACUUUACUCAAGUUCAAAUGUUAGCUGCGCUCUUCUUAUUACUCAAUCUUUCAUCGUCGCUGGUAAUAAGUUCCAUCCUUCGGUUUAAGAUGAAGAGAGUGUAUGGGAUUUGUUUGUUUGUGUUCUACGUGAUAUUCUUAAAAUUGUUGUCAUACUUGCCGAGGCUAAAGUGUUCAAUAUCUCAAUUCCAAACAUUUUAGAACCUGUUUGAAUGUACUCUCUCACUCAAAUAUUAUGUAUAGCUACAAUAAUGAAUUGAUUGAUUAUUAUUAUUACUAAUGCUGUAUUAUAGUGUGUCUG
Amphimedon queenslandica is the source of this 444-nucleotide long non-coding RNA. RefSeq lists it as uncharacterized. The transcript has 2 exons. The record is from RefSeq and is a predicted model, not a curated record. Lineage: Eukaryota; Metazoa; Porifera; Demospongiae; Haplosclerida; Niphatidae.